CACAUACUUAGUUUUUAUUUGCACCCUUCCCCUGACUAGUGAGUGAGAAAGGUUGUGCGUGCGUGUGUGUGUGUGUGUGUGUGUGUAUUUUCCUUUGUGGCUACAUUUUUGGUUUGCUUCCACUUAUUUCAUGCUUGCUGCCUAGAAGAAAUGGAUGGAUGGGUUUUGAUCAGGGGAAAGGCAGUUUGCCCAUUAUCUGCCCAUGAAGGGCUUACCAGUGGGUAGGCCACCCAGGAGCUCAGCUUGUCUUGUCAACAUACCGAUGUAGCAAAAUCGAUGUGUUUGGAGCUGGAAUUAUUUUUCACAGUCUUGUUUGGGCCAGGUCUUGGUCUAUGCUAUGCCUUAUAUAAUGUACAUCAUGAACCUUCACUGGAAAAGAAGCCUGGCACUGGAGGAGUGGCACCUCUGCCCAAACAAGCGAGGAAGCAGACUCUCACUGGAGGAUCAGUGCCAGCCUGGGUACGAGUGACAGCUCUGAACUAGAGGAGCAGCACCCUUCCUCCAUGUGAGUGGACAAACUGCAGCUGGAGGAGUGAGGCCCCGGCUCCAGAGGAGCACGGGAGAGAGGAGCAGGGGCAAGGAAUAACCAACCAUCACCAUCCUGGACAAGGACAACACCUGGGCAGAAACAGGAGCAACCAGACCCUAUGACUGAGGACAAAAACAAAUUCAAAACAGCUGGAAGAGAGACACAUGAGAAAAAUGGCAGAUCUGGAAUUCCUGGGGCCACAUUCCAGGGACUGGACACCGGCUGCUUCCUGAGGAUGCGGGUGGAGGAGCUUCUGACUUCACAGCCCCUGCAGGCCCUGAUGUCCAGUUCUACCCACAGACAGGACAGGACUGUUGUAGCCUUCAUGCCUGGUCUAAGCAGCCUCUCAGGAACCCCCUGAGCCCUGGAGUCCACACAACUCCAAAGCAGCUCAGUUAGGGGAGAGUCAGGGACCCCCAAAUGCUAAGUACCCAGACAUUCUUCAGACCUCUACAUAAUUCAGGCUUAAAAAUGACCUAGGUUGAGUCUGCUGUCAUGUUUUUGGGAUGAAGAUGAAAAGAGAAGUGAAAGUGUCUAAAGAGAAGAGCUCUUCCAUUUCUUGCACUGCUGAACUUGUGAAGAUUCCUAUCCUGUUCAUAAGUAGGAGACCAAGAAGUGGAGAGAGAGGAGAGAGGAAGUAAAAAGAAUCAAGCUGUGUUCUGUACAUCUACCAACUACCCAUG
Molecule: long non-coding RNA, 1212 nt
Filed under: Heterocephalus glaber (naked mole-rat)
Lineage: Eukaryota; Metazoa; Chordata; Mammalia; Rodentia; Bathyergidae
Description: lncRNA (ENSHGLG00100028209.2)
Source: RNAcentral